UGACCGUAUUCUACCAAGAAAUGCACAAAAUAUUCAAAAAGAAGGCAUAGAAAAUUUAAAUAUUGGACAAGAACUAUAGAAGAUACAGAGAAAUAAUAUACAGCAGAAAUGAUAGGCAAUGUAAAAUUUGCAGAAGCCAACUAAACCUAAAUGGUGAUCAGACAUCUUGGUUUUCAUGAUCAAUAGGUCAUUACUGAAGAGGAAACUUAAAGUUGAAAUUUAUUUACAUAGUGCAUAAUUGGAUUAAUUUGAAAUGGAAUGUGUGCUUUCCUGCAAAAAAGAAAUAGGAAAUUUCAACAUUAUCACAUGAUAAUGACCAUAUAAAACAAAAUGGAGUUCUAUCAUAGAUACAC
Molecule: long non-coding RNA, 353 nt
Organism: Mytilus trossulus (common blue mussel)
Lineage: Eukaryota; Metazoa; Mollusca; Bivalvia; Mytilida; Mytilidae
Exons: 3
Source: RefSeq, a predicted model, not a curated record